Molecule: ribosomal RNA, 777 nt
Filed under: Streptomyces sp. CNRF10
Lineage: Bacteria; Bacillati; Actinomycetota; Actinomycetes; Kitasatosporales; Streptomycetaceae
Description: bacterial SSU rRNA
Rfam family: Bacterial small subunit ribosomal RNA
Source: RNAcentral
GGUGAGUAACACGUGGGCAAUCUGCCCUUCACUCUGGGACAAGCCCUGGAAACGGGGUCUAAUACCGGAUACCACUCCUGCCUGCAUGGGUAGGGGUUGAAAGCUCCGGCGGUGAAGGAUGAGCCCGCGGCCUAUCAGCUUGUUGGUGGGGUAAUGGCCCACCAAGGCGACGACGGGUAGCCGGCCUGAGAGGGCGACCGGCCACACUGGGACUGAGACACGGCCCAGACUCCUACGGGAGGCAGCAGUGGGGAAUAUUGCACAAUGGGCGAAAGCCUGAUGCAGCGACGCCGCGUGAGGGAUGACGGCCUUCGGGUUGUAAACCUCUUUCAGCAGGGAAGAAGCGAAAGUGACGGUACCUGCAGAAGAAGCGCCGGCUAACUACGUGCCAGCAGCCGCGGUAAUACGUAGGGCGCAAGCGUUGUCCGGAAUUAUUGGGCGUAAAGAGCUCGUAGGCGGCUUGUCACGUCGGAUGUGAAAGCCCGAGGCUUAACCUCGGGUCUGCAUUCGAUACGGGCUAGCUAGAGUGUGGUAGGGGAGAUCGGAAUUCCUGGUGUAGCGGUGAAAUGCGCAGAUAUCAGGAGGAACACCGGCGGCGAAGGCGGAUCUCUGGGCCAUUACUGACGCUGAGGAGCGAAAGCGUGGGGAGCGAACAGGAUUAGAUACCCUGGUAGUCCACGCCGUAAACGUUGGGAACUAGGUGUUGGCGACAUUCCCACGUCGUCGGNGNCGCAGCUAACGCAUUAAGUUCCCCGCCUGGGGAGUACGGCCGCAAGG